UGGGACUUGAGAGGGCAGGUGGCUGACCCCUUCCUUCCGUCCUUCCCACAGGGAGGGGGAGGCUUGGCCCAGCUCCCUCGGCCCGUUGUUACCGACUUCUUCCCCAUCAGAUGGAUGUAGCGCGGCCCGUCGCGAGCCUUAAAAGGAGCAGCAGGCGGCCACCUUACGCAGCGACCCGGAGGGAGUCCUGCGGGGACUACGCGGCGGGCGUGAGGCGAGCGCGGCUCCGGGCAUGCGCGGCGGCUGUGUGCCCGCCGGGCCGGCACCGCCCUCUGGCUGUGUCUUCCUCCCGCCGCGGCCUUCGGGCUCCCGGAGCACCGGGGCUGAUCGCCGAGAUCCUUUAGCAUAAUACCCUUUGGUCACAGAAAUGACAUCUUCAGGGAGACGACUUUGAAGAAAUGCCUGAAAGUGACAGUAGAAAUACUUUCUUCUGUUACCUGCUGAAAUAUGUAAAAGAAAAUGAAAUGAAAACAUUUUUUUCUGGAUUUUAUCUGAUGAGUGCUGAGUCCAGCAGAACUUUGACUGAAUUAUUUGUGUGGAAUCAAAAUUUGCACUAAAUCAAAAUAGGCCCCUUGAAGCAGAAAUAUUGAGUAAAAGCUCUUGCUACGUCUUGAUAUUCAGGUUACAUCAGAUUUUAGAGCACGUACUGUGUUUGUGAUUGCCAUCUCUUAACUGUUGGAAUGGAACAAAACAUUGGAGAUUAUUUUAAUGAGAAAAGCUUCUCCAGGAAGUCAGUGAUGACCAAAAAAUUAGGGGCAUAAUUUUUCUUUCUGGGGCAUUAUUGUUUGGGGUCUUGUUGGAGGAAAAGACUUUGAGAACGGGGAGAGGGUGUGCUCCAGGACCGGGGUAACUGGGUGGCUUUAAUGACCAUCGUCUUACAGUGUGGGCCCUGGGAAGAACUUACCGGGGAGUCCCAGUAGCUAAUUUUUCACAUUGUCACUCUACAGGACGUCUGUACCAGCACAUCUUUCCCAUUUUGUGGUUAAACAUCCCUCUGGAGAAUUAUCCCUGAGGCACUGAGAACUUUAUUGUACUUUCCCCAUACACCCCCCUCCCCCCCCAGCCUCUUGGUCUCAAUUCAGAUGUCAGUCAAGGUGCCCAGCACAGGACAACCUCUUUAGCUGGUUGGAGAGCUAUUGCCAACUCCUGAAAACACAGAAGUAACUCACCUUUGUUCUGGUCCUACAGCUUUAAACCCUUAAGUGAGGGCUUGUGAAUCAUCUGACCUGAUGAGGAUAUUUGAGGCCCCAUCUGAUAAGUGCACUUUGUACCAUAAACUCAAGUAAAAGUAAAAAUCAAGUAAAUCGACAAAAUACAAAUAUUUUCUACCACUAAAUCGCUAAGGCAAUUCCAAAGAAUGUGCUUCUGGAACAAAAGGCAAUUCCAAAAGAGGUGCCCUAAAAAUGUUUUGAAAGUGGUAGAAUAAUGGAAUAAAGAUAUUCUUUCCAAAUAAAGAUAUUUUU
Non-coding RNA from Delphinapterus leucas (beluga whale), 1463 nucleotides. The record is from RefSeq and is a predicted model, not a curated record. NCBI's taxonomy places the organism in Eukaryota, Metazoa, Chordata, Mammalia, Artiodactyla, Monodontidae.